UGGGUUUGACAUGCUCGUGGUACCGACCUGAAAGGGGAGGGACCCGCAAGGGAGCGGGCACAGCUGCUGCAUGGCUGUCGUCAGCUCGUGCCGUGAGGUGUUGGGUUAAGUCCCGCAACGAGCGCAACCCUCGCUGCCAGUUAUCGUAUCUGGCGGGACCGCCGGGAUCAACCCGGAGGAAGGUGGGGAUGACGUAGAACGGUUGGU
Molecule: unclassified non-coding RNA, 207 nt
Filed under: uncultured Chloroflexota bacterium
Lineage: Bacteria; Bacillati; Chloroflexota
Description: uncultured Chloroflexi bacterium contains 16S-23S intergenic spacer region
Rfam family: Bacterial small subunit ribosomal RNA
Source: RNAcentral